CUUAAUCUUUGAGACAAGCAUAUGACUACUGGCAGGAUCAACCAGGUAGCAUUCCUCAACGACGUCGUCACCGCACGGCCGGGCCGAGACGGGAGCGACGGUCGUGCACCGUUGGUGUCUAAUGCAUGCUCGGGCAACAAUAAGAGGCCGCGUGACCUCAAUGCCCUCAGUGCUUUCCGUAUCCGAGAGCUCGAGCGAUGCCCCAUUCACCGCGACGGCAUAGACGCGACGCGGGUAACGGGCCAUGCUGUGAGUUUCGUCUCGUGACCCGCCGGACGAGCAGCGGACCGCUAAACGAACGAGGGACGUUGGGACAAACGAAUGCCAUCGUGUAGGUACGCAACACAGGAAACCGGGGUCACGGCCAAGGCUUUGCCGCACUUGGGCCAAAACUGAGGAGUCGUGAGAGGCACGCCGUCGCUGCCCGAAGCAGGGAUCCAACGCAUAUAUUUACUUACUUUUGAGGGACAUUUAAAUGUUUAUUUUACAAAUUAUAGUGGCAAACAAAAAAUACCUUUCUAUUCAAUAUCUCUAUGGGGUAGGGGGGUUUCAAAAAAAAUUAAUAAAAAGGUUCGUUUAUUAGCAAUGACUGAUGAUAAAAGUUUUUCCUUUUUUUCAAAAGGAACAUAUCGAAUUGAUGAUAAU
This 645-nucleotide unclassified non-coding RNA is filed under the name Hoya villosa. RNAcentral's name for it is "partial miscellaneous RNA". The record is from RNAcentral. Lineage: Eukaryota; Viridiplantae; Streptophyta; Magnoliopsida; Gentianales; Apocynaceae.